This 112-nucleotide non-coding RNA is filed under the name uncultured Stichotrichia. The record is from RNAcentral. Lineage: Eukaryota; Ciliophora; Spirotrichea.
CAAGCUUAUGGCUCCUACGACAACGGCUGCUACUGCUCCACCGAUGAUGAAUGCAUGUCUAGCCACUGCGAAGCCAACCAAUGCGAAUCAUCUUGUUCUGCCAUCCAAUCGG